GGGGGCGUACCGGUUUCGACGGGGACGCGGAAGCAGGAAUAGCGGGCGGUGGCGUCCGGCCACCUUAAAACGGACAUUCUUUAUAAAUUAAAGAACAACGAUAAUUACGCUUACGCUGCCUAAUUAAAGGCGGCCGUCUGACCGGGAGAGACCACGGACCCGGCUCAGGCGUCGUUACGUGGUGAACGUGCGCCGGCAAAGCUUUGCGCCGGCCAUGAAUCAUGAAGCUUACCCAACCAGCAGGCGUGACGGCUUGCCUGACGGGAGGGGAACAGGGCGGGAGAGCCGCCCGGAAUAACCGUCUGCGCCCGGAGAGGUUCCUGUGGAAGAGUUUUCGGACGGGGGUUCAACUCCCCCCGCCUCCACCA
RNAcentral lists this transfer-messenger RNA (368 nucleotides) under Oscillospiraceae. RNAcentral describes it as "Lawsonibacter sp910577805 Standard tmRNA". It matches the Rfam family "transfer-messenger RNA". Rfam says of the family: Bacterial tmRNA, also known as 10Sa RNA or SsrA, is named for its dual tRNA and mRNA-like properties. Its role is to liberate the mRNA from a stalled ribosome. To accomplish this part of the tmRNA is used as a reading frame that ends in a translation stop signal. Lineage: Bacteria; Bacillati; Bacillota; Clostridia; Eubacteriales. RNAcentral also lists the same sequence under 2 other names. The record is from RNAcentral.